AAUGAACGCUGGCGGCAUGCCUUACACAUGCAAGUCGAACGGCAGCAUGACCUAGCUCGCUAGGUUGAUGGCGAGUGGCGAACGGGUGAGUAAUGCAUCGGAACGUGCCUUUUAGUGGGGGAUAACGUAGCGAAAGUUACGCUAAUACCGCAUAUUCUCUGAGGAGGAAAGCAGGGGACCUUCGGGCCUUGCGCUAGAAGAGCGGCCGAUGUCGGAUUAGCUAGUUGGUGAGGUAAAGGCUCACCAAGGCAACGAUCCGUAGCGGGUCUGAGAGGAUGAUCCGCCACACUGGGACUGAGACACGGCCCAGACUCCUACGGGAGGCAGCAGUGGGGAAUUUUGGACAAUGGGCGCAAGCCUGAUCCAGCCAUGCCGCGUGAGUGAAGAAGGCCUUCGGGUUGUAAAGCUCUUUCGGCUGGGAAGAAAUCGCACCCUCUAAUACAGGGUGUGGAUGACGGUACCAGCAUAAGAAGCACCGGCUAACUACGUG
RNAcentral lists this ribosomal RNA (490 nucleotides) under uncultured bacterium. RNAcentral's name for it is "partial 16S ribosomal RNA". It matches the Rfam family "Bacterial small subunit ribosomal RNA", at positions 29 to 507 of the family's 1533-position model. The record is from RNAcentral.